GAUGAACGCUGGCGGCGUGCCUAAUACAUGCAAGUCGAGCGAAUGGAUUGAGAGCUUGCUCUUAUGAAGUUAGCGGCGGACGGGUGAGUAACACGUGGGUAACCUGCCCAUAAGACUGGGAUAACUCCGGGAAACCGGGGCUAAUACCGGAUAACAUUUUGAACCGCAUGGUUCGAAAUUGAAAGGCGGCUUCGGCUGUCACUUAUGGAUGGACCCGCGUCGCAUUAGCUAGUUGGUGAGGUAACGGCUCACCAAGGCAACGAUGCGUAGCCGAGCUGAGAGGGGGAUCGGCCACACUGGGACUGAGACACGGCCCAGACUCCUACGGGAGGCAGCAGUAGGGAAUCUUCCGCAAUGGACGAAAAUCUGACGGAGCAACGCCGCGUGAGUGAUGAAGGCUUUCGGGUCGUAAAACUCUGUUGUUAGGGAAGAACAAGUGCUAGUUGAAUAAGCUGGCACCUUGACGGUACCUAACCAGAAAGCCACGGCUAACUACGUGCCAGCCGCCGCGGUAA
RNAcentral lists this ribosomal RNA (515 nucleotides) under uncultured bacterium. Its description in RNAcentral is "partial 16S ribosomal RNA". It matches the Rfam family "Bacterial small subunit ribosomal RNA", at positions 28 to 523 of the family's 1533-position model. The record is from RNAcentral.